Molecule: ribosomal RNA, 583 nt
Filed under: uncultured Variovorax sp.
Lineage: Bacteria; Pseudomonadati; Pseudomonadota; Betaproteobacteria; Burkholderiales; Comamonadaceae
Description: bacterial SSU rRNA
Rfam family: Bacterial small subunit ribosomal RNA
Source: RNAcentral
ACGGGUGAGUAAUACAUCGGAACGUGCCCAAUCGUGGGGGAUAACGCAGCGAAAGCUGUGCUAAUACCGCAUACGAUCUACGGAUGAAAGCAGGGGAUCGCAAGACCUUGCGCGAAUGGAGCGGCCGAUGGCAGAUUAGGUAGUUGGUGAGGUAAAGGCUCACCAAGCCUUCGAUCUGUAGCUGGUCUGAGAGGACGACCAGCCACACUGGGACUGAGACACGGCCCAGACUCCUACGGGAGGCAGCAGUGGGGAAUUUUGGACAAUGGGCGAAAGCCUGAUCCAGCCAUGCCGCGUGCAGGAUGAAGGCCUUCGGGUUGUAAACUGCUUUUGUACGGAACGAAACGGUCUUUUCUAAUAAAGAAGGCUAAUGACGGUACCGUAAGAAUAAGCACCGGCUAACUACGUGCCAGCAGCCGCGGUAGUACGUAGGGUGCAAGCGUUAAUCGGAAUUACUGGGCGUAAAGCGUGCGCAGGCGGUGAUGUAAGACAGUUGUGAAAUCCCCGGGCUCAACCUGGGAACUGCAUCUGUGACUGCAUCGCUGGAGUACGGCAGAGGGGGAUGGAAUUCCGCGUGUAGCAG